This 29-nucleotide transfer RNA is filed under the name Pimelea brevifolia subsp. brevifolia. Its description in RNAcentral is "partial tRNA-Leu". Lineage: Eukaryota; Viridiplantae; Streptophyta; Magnoliopsida; Malvales; Thymelaeaceae. The record is from RNAcentral.
AAAUCCGUCGACUUUUAAAAUCGUGAGGG